Schistocerca piceifrons (Central American locust) is the source of this 1037-nucleotide long non-coding RNA. RefSeq lists it as uncharacterized. The transcript is spliced from 2 exons. Lineage: Eukaryota; Metazoa; Arthropoda; Insecta; Orthoptera; Acrididae. The record is from RefSeq and is a predicted model, not a curated record.
GAGCUGAGAACUUUUGCAGCAGUGCUCUUGAAAAGUGCUGUGUACCCAUGUGCUUCUGUCGGCUUUCAGAUAUCAAAUAUUGGAGUGAGAGAUAUUGGCAAUGGCUAACACCACAACUAUUGAUUGCCAUGUGAUGUUUAAAACUUCAUGCAUGUUGACACUGAGACCAGGAAGUGGUUCUUGAGCACAGUAUACAUAUGUUUAUAUUCCAGACAAAAAUUAGUUUUUUAUCAUGUGUGUCUUAAUGAUUCUUUUAUUUACUUGUGAAAGAAAGCCUUUGUUCGUACUGUGUAAAUUUUUUGACCAAAAUUAUUGUUUGUAAACUGACCAGUAGCUAAAGAAAUCUAUGUACACUCUAUUAUAAAAUUAUUAAUAGUUUUGUAACCUUGGUUACUAUUGUAAUCACAUGAAAUUGAAAUUGUAUUAAAAUAAAAAUAUUAAGAUUCGAAUUUGGUGUCUUGAGCUUCGAGCUCUUCUUCUUCUUCUUCUUCUUCUUCUUUAAAUUCAAAGGCUGUAAGAAAAUUGCCAAGUCACCUGAAAAAGUACUCUCUCUCUCUCUCUCUCUCUCUCUCUCUCUCUCUCUCUCUCUGUUGCCUCUUUCUUGUUGUAGUGGCACAUCCAUUAAAUUUUUUAUCUUUAUUGGGCAGGCUCUGUCUUCAACUCGAGUAAUAACUACUAUAAUAUGGACUUACCCUAUGUCCUCUUAAAUUUUUCUCAUUUAAAGGCCUUUCUCUAUAAAGAGGACAAAAUUUUAAUUUUUUCUGACUUUUCAAACCUGUGCUUAUGUCCUUAAUCUAAUGGUGUUUGCACAUUGACUCCAUGAAGUCACCAAAGUCUAGAAAUGUAAGUUCCCCAUCCUGACCCUCAAGGUGCCAUUAACAUUUAAUUUGCUUUGGUUUGAGAUUCAGGUCUUUGAAUUCAUGUUGAAAAUGACAUUGUUAGUGCAGCAGCCUGUGAAUAAGUAAUAUGUUGAAUUUCUUUUGUAUGUAACUGUUUGUAAUAAAAGAAACUAUGACAGCUAUGCUAUGUCAACAAUA